CCUACGGGGGGCUGCAGUCGAGAAUCAUUCACAAUGGGGGAAACCCUGAUGGUGCGACGCCGCGUGGGGGAAUGAAGGUCUUCGGAUUGUAAACCCCUGUCAUGUGGGAGCAAAUUAAAAAGAUAGUACCACAAGAGGAAGAGACGGCUAACUCUGUGCCAGCAGCCGCGGUAAUAAAGAGGGCUCAAGCGUUGUUCGGAAUCACUGGGCGUAAAGCGUGCGUAGGCUGUUUCGUAAGUCGUGUGUGAAAGGCGCGGGCUCAACCCGCGGACGGCACAUGAUACUGCGAGACUAGAGUAAUGGAGGGGGAACCGGAAUUCUCGGUGUAGCAGGGAAAUGCGUAGAUAUCGAGAGGAACACUCGUGGCGAAGGCGGGUUACUGGACAUUAACUGACGCUGAGGCACGAAGGCCAGGGGAGCGAAAGGGAUUAGAUACCCCUGUAGUC
This 446-nucleotide ribosomal RNA is filed under the name uncultured bacterium. Its description in RNAcentral is "partial 16S ribosomal RNA". It matches the Rfam family "Bacterial small subunit ribosomal RNA", at positions 338 to 795 of the family's 1533-position model. The record is from RNAcentral.